GGGGUGGUAGCUCAGUUGGUUAGAGCGCCUGCCUGUCACGCAGGAGGCCGCGGGUUCGAGUCCCGUUCAUCCCGCCA
Molecule: transfer RNA, 77 nt
Filed under: Opitutaceae bacterium
Lineage: Bacteria; Pseudomonadati; Verrucomicrobiota; Opitutia; Opitutales; Opitutaceae
Description: tRNA-Asp
Rfam family: tRNA
About the family: Transfer RNA (tRNA) molecules are approximately 80 nucleotides in length. Their secondary structure includes four short double-helical elements and three loops (D, anti-codon, and T loops).
Source: RNAcentral